This 500-nucleotide ribosomal RNA is filed under the name uncultured bacterium. RNAcentral describes it as "bacterial SSU rRNA". It matches the Rfam family "Bacterial small subunit ribosomal RNA", at positions 28 to 524 of the family's 1533-position model. The record is from RNAcentral.
GAUGAACGCUAGCGGCAGGCUUAAUACAUGCAAGUCGAGGGGCAGCACGGUUAGCAAUAACUGGUGGCGACCGGCGCACGGGUGCGUAACACGUAUACAAUCUACCUUAAACAGGGGGAUAGCCUUUCGAAAGAGAGAUUAAUACCCCGUAAUAAAUUGAACGGCAUCGUUUGAUUUUGAAAGCUCCGGCGGUUUGAGAUGAGUAUGCGUCUGAUUAGCUAGUUGGUGAGGUAACGGCUCACCAAGGCGACGAUCAGUAGGGGAUCUGAGAGGACUAACCCCCACACUGGUACUGAGACACGGACCAGACUCCUACGGGAGGCAGCAGUAAGGAAUAUUGGUCAAUGGAGGCAACUCUGAACCAGCCAUGCCGCGUGCAGGAUGACGGCCCUAUGGGUUGUAAACUGCUUUUAUACAAGAGAAAACCCUGGUACGUGUACCAGGUUGAUAGUAUUGUAGGAAUAAGCAUCGGCUAACUUCGUGCCAGCAGCCGCGGUAAU